AUGAAGAAUAGUUAGUGGCAGACGGGUGAGUAAUGCAUAGGAAUCUACCUAGUAGUAUAGGAUAGCCACUAGAAAUGGUGGGUAAUACUGUAUAAUCCCUGCGGGGGAAAGAUUUAUCGCUAUUAGAUGAGCCUAUGUUAGAUUAGCUAGUUGGUAGGGUAAAGGCCUACCAAGGCGAUGAUCUAUAGCUGGUCUGAGAGGAUGAUCAGCCACACUGGAACUGAGAUACGGUCCAGACUCCUACGGGAGGCAGCAGUGGGGAAUAUUGGACAAUGGGCGCAAGCCUGAUCCAGCUAUGCCGCGUGAGUGAGGAAGGCCUUAGGGUUGUAAAACUCUUUCAGUAGGGAAGAUAAUGACGGUACCUACAGAAGAAAUCCCGGCAAACUCCGUGCCAGCAGCCGCGGUAAUACGGAGGGGGCAAGCGUUGUUCGGAAUUAUUGGGCGUAAAGGGCAUGUAGGCGGUUCGGUAAGUUAAAGGUGAAAUGCCAGGGCUUAAC
This 497-nucleotide ribosomal RNA is filed under the name Anaplasma phagocytophilum. RNAcentral describes it as "bacterial SSU rRNA". It matches the Rfam family "Bacterial small subunit ribosomal RNA", at positions 81 to 613 of the family's 1533-position model. Lineage: Bacteria; Pseudomonadati; Pseudomonadota; Alphaproteobacteria; Rickettsiales; Anaplasmataceae. The record is from RNAcentral.